RNAcentral lists this transfer RNA (92 nucleotides) under Tissierellia bacterium. RNAcentral describes it as "tRNA-Ser". It matches the Rfam family "tRNA". Rfam says of the family: Transfer RNA (tRNA) molecules are approximately 80 nucleotides in length. Their secondary structure includes four short double-helical elements and three loops (D, anti-codon, and T loops). Lineage: Bacteria; Bacillati; Bacillota; Tissierellia. The record is from RNAcentral.
GGAGAGAUGGCUGAGUUGGCUGAAGGCGCUCGCCUGGAAAGCGGGUAAACGUGAUGAGCGUUUCGAGGGUUCGAAUCCCUCUCUCUCCGCCA